This is a long non-coding RNA of Zingiber officinale, 428 nucleotides long. RefSeq lists it as uncharacterized. The record is from RefSeq and is a predicted model, not a curated record. NCBI's taxonomy places the organism in Eukaryota, Viridiplantae, Streptophyta, Magnoliopsida, Zingiberales, Zingiberaceae. The transcript is spliced from 2 exons.
GCUUCGCCCGCCCCGCAUCGCUCUCUUCUUCGUCCGAUUCAAGUACGCUGCCGUUGCUGCUCGAAACCCUAGAGUUUCUGCUGUGUUCGGAUCGGUCGCCGUAGAGGAUGUCGAGAGCUGGAAACGAGGAAGACAAGAAAGCGGCGGAUCAGGCGGCGCACAUCAAUCUCAAGGUCAAGGGGCAGGGCGUAGCACAGACGGUGGGCGCAUGGUAUCUCUAGCGUAAUGGUUAGGGGUCAAUUAUCAAGAACUGACGACCUGGAGUUUACCCCACCAUGCACCUAUGGCCUGUGUACCUGCAUGAACCUCCCUCCAUAUCCAUGAGGCCGGUACUAGGGGCCGCUAAGGUAGCGGAUCUACCUUUUUUUAAGUGUGAUUUUCUUGUAGCCUGAAAACAAUUUGUCCCACUGCAAAGUUUGUAUUUCUUA